GACGAACGCUGGCGGCGUGCUUAACACAUGCAAGUCCAACGGAAAGGCCUCUUUCGGGGGGUACUCGAGUGGCGAACGGGUGAGUAACACGUGAGUAACCUGCCCUUGACUUUGGGAUAACUUCAGGAAACUGGGGCUAAUACCGGAUAGGAGCUCCUGCUGCAUGGUGGGGGUUGGAAAGUUUCGGCGGUUGGGGAUGGACUCGCGGCUUAUCAGCUUGUUGGUGGGGUAGUGGCUUACCAAGGCUUUGACGGGUAGCCGGCCUGAGAGGGUGACCGGCCACAUUGGGACUGAGAUACGGCCCAGACUCCUACGGGAGGCAGCAGUGGGGAAUAUUGCACAAUGGGUGGAAGCCUGAUGCAGCAACGCCGUGUGCGGGAUGACGGCCUUCGGGUUGUAAACCGCUUUCGCUCAUGACGAAGCUUUGUGUGACGGUAGUGGGUAAAGAAGCACCGGCUAACUACGU
Molecule: ribosomal RNA, 466 nt
Filed under: uncultured bacterium
Lineage: Bacteria
Description: partial 16S ribosomal RNA
Rfam family: Bacterial small subunit ribosomal RNA
Source: RNAcentral